RNAcentral lists this small nuclear RNA (109 nucleotides) under Neogale vison (American mink). The record is from RNAcentral. Lineage: Eukaryota; Metazoa; Chordata; Mammalia; Carnivora; Mustelidae.
GUGCUCGCUUCGGCAGCACAUAUACUAAAAUUGGAACGAUACAGAGAAGAUUAGCAUGGCCCCUGUGCAAGAAUGUGUAUGUACCAUUUGUUAGAGUAUAAUAAAAAAU